Non-coding RNA from Cyanistes caeruleus (blue tit), 1378 nucleotides. The record is from RefSeq and is a predicted model, not a curated record. Lineage: Eukaryota; Metazoa; Chordata; Aves; Passeriformes; Paridae.
UUGAUUGAUUGUUUUCUGAAAAACAUCAGCACAGCACAGGACAGUACUACCCACCCUAAAUGUGUCGCUAUAUACAUUCUACAUAAGCUCUAUAGCAAUCACAUGUAAACAUCAUCAUCAUCAUCAUCAUCGUGAGGAAAUACUAGGACAGAAAAAGGCAAAGCUACAAUGAGGCAAUUGCCAAUAGCAGAUGCUCAGUCUCGGCCAGAGCUGCUCGUGUUUGCUGAGGUGGGAUGAGAACAGGGGGGAUUUUGGGGUGGGAGAGAGGCCGGGUUUCAGUGCUGGGGCUGAAGUGGCACAAGGCCGGUUCCCCGGCAGUGAUGGUCACCGUGGGGACCCCGCGCUGGCCUCCGGGCCCUGGCGCUGCCGGGCUGGGUGUUGUCAGAACCGCGGCUCUCCUGAGGGGAACAGCCAGGGAACUGUGCUGGUGUCGGCAUUGCUGCUCCUGCCAGAGCCCAGCUGCGCUCCGGCCCCGAGCCUCGGCCCACCCUGGCACGGCUCCGGCCCCGAGCCUCGGCCCACCCUGGCACGGCAGGGCUUCAGCCCCGAGCCUCGGCCCACCCUGGCGGGGCUCCAGCCCCCGGCACCUCAUGCCGUUCCCAAGGCUUCGGUCGCUCUCCCCGCAACGUGCCCGGGGAACCGGGGAUAAAACCCCCAAGUCAUGGCAAGGGGAGACCCCAGGAGACUCUAAUCUAUCUAUUGGCAGAGUUAAGGCUAUAAUAUUCUAUCUACAGAGGAUGGCUGAAUCCCUAGUGGUCUCUGGGGCUCAAAAAUUAAAGGAGAAGGUGGCAAUGGCUUGAGGCGCAGCAAGAUUCCCGCUCCCUUGGGAAAACAGUGUCUCUGGCCGGCUGGUGGUGGGCUUUGCUCCGGCUGGGGGACAGCUGUGUCCCCAUCUCACCCCACUCACACACGGAGGGCAAGUCCUCAAGGUGUGGAAGCGAGCGAGGAUCAAGCCCCAGGGCCUGGCCAGUCUCCCAGCCAUCCAAGGAGCUGGAGAGGAGCCAGCUCCUCCACACGGACUGGAGCAUCCAUCCCCCAGCGGCUCAGGCCUGGCAGCCCCCAGCCCCUCUCUCCAAAGGCAGCAGGGGUGCAGCAGCGCUGGCUGCAGGUGCUGCAUCCCUUUCCCACCCUCUGCAGCCUGCAAAGCCGCCCGGCCCAGGCUCCAUCACCCACCGGGACCCAGCUCAGCACCGAGGGGCUCGGGCCACUCCAGCACGAAGAAUGGCUUUGACAGCAAAGUGGGUGACCCCGGUUUGCCAGCAGGGGAAUGUCAGCUCUGAGACUGCUCUGACCCCCCAUUUGCUGAGUGGCAAGUGCCUCAUUACAGUGCAUAGUUAAAAAUCAAGGAAGCGGUACAAUAAAUCUGAAUUACAGUACA